GUCUACGGCCAUACCAUCCUGAAUGCGCCCAAUCGGAAGCUAAGCAGGGUCGGGCCUGGUGAGUACUUGGAUGGGAGAUAUUAUACCAUAGGCU
RNAcentral lists this ribosomal RNA (94 nucleotides) under Fukomys damarensis (Damara mole-rat). The record is from RNAcentral. Lineage: Eukaryota; Metazoa; Chordata; Mammalia; Rodentia; Bathyergidae.